Long non-coding RNA from Tympanuchus pallidicinctus (lesser prairie-chicken), 4638 nucleotides. RefSeq lists it as uncharacterized. NCBI's taxonomy places the organism in Eukaryota, Metazoa, Chordata, Aves, Galliformes, Phasianidae. The record is from RefSeq and is a predicted model, not a curated record. The transcript is spliced from 4 exons.
CUGCCUCAUUGCUCUGGAGUGACAGCACAGCAGUGCUCCUCUCUGCUGACAGCUUGAGCUGUGUACAAAAUAACUCCUUGCUGAAAUGCAACUAUCUCUGGGGUGGAGCGCUACUCCUCGACUCCUCCAUAGAAGCAAAACAGAUCUGGGACACAGAAAAAAAUGCAAAAUCAGGAUUGGAUGGAGAGUGAACUUGGGAGUGAACUUUCCGGAAAGUACAUGAGAGGGAUCAGAGCUCAUUGCACGUGAACUGAGCAGCAGUGAAUAAAACAACUUACAAGCUACGUCAGUUCUGGGAAACAAAAGCGUUUUACAGAAGAUUUCCUCUUGUUUGAGUUGUGAUAUCCAACCGUGAUGGAUAAUCACUUCUUAUCCUGGUUGUUUUGUUGCUUCUGAGACAUGGAGUUUUUACUUCAAGCUUGGUUAAAGACUAAAAAGAGGGGACGCAGCUGUGUCUCAAUUAACCCUUAGCUCAGCAGUAGGGUUUUCUCAGGCUGCUUUGAGAAGAAAAAACAUAGUUAAAACAACAGAAAGUUUUAACUUUUGCCUCGAGGGCUGGAAACCUAUUUUUCAGGCAGCUUAACUUCUGUCAUUCUCAGGGUGUCUCUUCAAAUUAGCAUCAGACAGUGAAAUAAAUAGGAAAUAUUGCCCAAGAGUCCUUGGUUUUGUCAGAAAGGACUUUGAUAAAAGUAGAGGGGAAGAAAAAGAAAGCCUGAAUCAUGAAGGUCUGCCACGUCUUUUUGCUGCUGUGAAAUCAAAACUGACUGAGUUUAUGGUCAUUCAAUUAUUACAACCAGUGUAUGAGAAAACCAAUAAUUUGGUGAUGCCGGGUUAAAUGUUCUAGACAAGACAUGGUGUGAACUUCCUCAUGUUUGAAUUCUAAAUUUCAGCAAAGGGUCCCUUGCAUGCGUGCACUUCGUUUUCUCAACAGAAAGUAAAAGAGAAAACAAAAGCUGAGGAGGCAUUCAAGUACUGUGGAGAUGUGGCACUGAGGGACAUGAGUGCUCACUGCUUUAUGCCACUUCUCUGACAGAAGAGGAACUGCAGCAAAGGAGAGAAAUUUCUUCCAUCUGCGGCCAAGGUUAAGGCAACCUGUAGGAAAGAAUGAAAACGACGCAGAGAAAUGAGCACCUCAUUUCAGCAAGGGCCAAACUGCUGUCUGCAACAUUUUGGAUGACUCAGCGUGUUUCCUGGUUUUAUUUAUUUCUGUUUUUCGUUGCAAGAGGUGUUUGUGUCAAAACUAAAGCUUGAGGAGCUGAGCCUAUUAGUACAUGACAUGUCUUUCUCUGUCACGCCCAAAGCCGCAGCCAUGAUUUCCCUCUCACUGGCUCUGGGAUGAAGCAGGUGUAGGGGUGUUGAGGUGGUCUGGCACUGGAAAUGCUGGCGGGAAGCUGAGCUGAGAGGAAACCCAUUCCUUAUGGGCUGUUACACAAACUGGGAGCUCUACAGAAACCCACCAGAGAGACUAAGGGUUGGGAAUAAUUAGCACACAUCAAAAAAUCCAUAAGAAACACAGCUACUUUUUGACAGAAGGGCUGAAUUUUGCAGCUAUUGGUCAGUGCAGUGAAUGGAAGGGAAAUGAAUAUCAGUGCAAACGUUGACUCAAUCCAGAGAGCUGCUCUUCUUUCUCCAGCAGGCGUGUGGAAAUCUAUUGCUCCUCACUGAAAAAUAAAGCUGGGGAUGCAUUAUUAAAAAGCAGGACAAGCAAUGUGUUAACCCCUUCAUUUCAGAGCAGAACUUCCAGGAUGAAGCAUACUAAUUGUUUCACUGAUAUGUGAUAUUAGCUAUCAGGGUCAAGUGUUUGAAAGAAGUCUCACAGUCUACUACAGAGGCAAUUUGUUAUAAGCAAGAAAUGGAGGCAAGAGGGAAGAGAGAAAUGGAGCAGCUGGAAUAGAUGGCAGAAAGAGAGAUGGAGGAGGAAAUGAAAUGGAAAAACACAAAAAACAUGUUGGCUAGAGAAAACAAGGAGAAAAGCAUGAACAUGGGUUCUUUAGAAAUGUUCUUGCUGACAAGAACCUGGAAUUUUUAUUUACCAUCACUUCAUUCUUCUAAAGUAUCUGCUAUUUACAGUAUAUUGCAUUCUCAAUAUUUCCUACAAUUUUCCUCCUGAGGAGGCUCCAUUCCCUGCCCUUCCCCCAGCUGUGUGGGACAAGAGCCACAGCAUCCAGAGUUUAAAAAAAAGGGAAUGAUAACUCUGAUCCAUAACAGAUCUCACCAAUGAUAUACAAAAUUUGAAAGGCAUAUUUUCAUGUUUUUGUGGUUUUUUUUCCACCCUGUCAGUCAUCUUCCCUUUGAGUUCCUUGAGGGAGGUUAAAUGGGAACACCAGGUAGCUGGCCAGCAAUGUCUGGAAGUGGCUAGUGCAGAAAUAGUGGGAGCCUCUGCACCUUUACCCUUUAUGGAGUUCAUUGUUAGAUUGUGGAUAUGUUUAAGUGAGAAGGUAGAGCCACGGUGAUUCCUAUGCACUGUGAAGGAAGCCUGCAGAGAUGUCUCUGCUGCCUUGGUGCACGAUUAGGAAUGAUAUGAAUGCAUACAGGCUGCAGCUUGAUUGGCCAAGAUGGAAGUGAUAUUCAUGAAACAAUCAGAGCAUUUUGCUAAUGCACAAAGAGUGACACAUGAUCCCAAUUGAGUGAGAAUGCUCAGAUCUGCCCAUUUGUGGGUAAAAGUAUGAAGAUAUCCCCCAUGUCACUGGGGUGGAAAGAGUUAAAGAGCACCAAUCAAUCUGCAAUCAAGCAGCUGAGGCAUAAUUAGCCAGACUGAUUAGGCCAUAAAGGUUGUGGCAAGCCAGAGUUUGGGUUUUCCUAGAGGGAAGACUGCAGAACUCCUGAGCUGAGGGCAGCUCAGCUUCUGGGGUGAGUAGUUCAGAGCAUUGAGCUUUGUGUCUGUCCUCUGUAGCUGUGGUGAAGCUGCUCUGUAGUCCUUGGGUUGAGGCUUGGUCUGUAUUUAUUUGUGUAUUUGAGAUUCCCUAUACAGGUUUCUUUGUAGCUGUUCUUUAACUGGGCUUUUUGUGAUCUUCUGAGUGCUGCUGGGAUACUUGGUAUAAAGACCUGAAAGCUGAGGAGCAACAGUUUUGAGCGCCUAGAGUUGCAGAAGAGCUGGAUGCUCUGCUGAGAAUCCUGGUAGUUCAUCCCCAUUGCAAUUCAUGGCCUGCUUUUCCUCUGGUGCAGUGCUGGCAAUGGAUGAGGGCUGGGGCACCACACAAAGGUCCUCAUCUUUCUUUUCUAGCGCUCACCAGGGAAGUGUUUGAGGGCACUUAUAGGAAGAAAGAAGGAAGGAAGGAAGUUUUUGGAGUCUAUUGCUGAAAAACAAAUCAGUGUGUUUCUCCUGUGAGACAAAGAGAAUGCAGUGUACAAAUACAACUCGGUUUCUGGCUUCUAAAAAAGAGGUGAGGGAAUAAUAAAAGAAAAAUAAAUAAAGGAAAAUGCAAAUAUUUAGAAAGCUCCAGGCUUGCGGUACAUUUUGCUGUUUCCUCGUCUCUAAAAGCCCUGUGCACCUUCAAACAUUCCUGACUGCGGUGGAUAUAUGAAAUAAGUGCCCAAUUUGGGCUUGCAUAGCCUAGCCAUACCGUAAACAAGCAGUGCUGCCUGGAAUCAUUGGCCAGACAGCUGGCAAUCCCUGCAGAUUUUCUAACAUCAACUCUGCUCUUGGAGAGGAGGCUGAGCCCUGCUCCGUGAACCAUCCCCUUUGCAUAGGGCUGGAGGCAGGCUGCAAACUGAGCAGGGAGAAUAAUUCCCCUACAAAUUGCUGCAAGUGUUAAAGCUCCAGGGAGCGGAUUUAAUAGCUGCCUUCCACUCUGCAUUGGUUCAGCAGGCUGUGGUUUAUGGGCACAGCUGGACGAUAGUGAAAGAAGGCAGGAAGGGGAGGCCCUACUGUGCUUGGAUUUGUGGAGAAAAAUGAGUGUGCACUUGUUUGGGCUUUGCUUUGUGUGGGUUCAUCCCUGUAAGGUUAGAUGCCAAAGAAUAGUAGUGGGCUGGGAGUGAGGAAUGUGGGAAUCAGCAUCAGCAAAGCGAGGUUUGUGCAGCGUGCUGUGGGAUUUGGGUGGCCACGUGGAAGUAGCAGUGAGUUCAGCCUUCUGGGCAGAGAAAAAGAAGUUAUGACUUCAAGCUCCUAUUUGCCUCAGGUUUCGCAUGGUGAAAAGGGGUGUGUGUGGGGGGGGGGAGAGUUGGAAGUGUGUAUAAACGCCAACUCAGCAAAAUGAAUGGUUCACACAGAAAACCCAAGGCUGGGAGUGAAACUUGACUCACUGAGAGCCUCUUGUGUAUUGAGUGCAUGUGGUGUAGUGAUUGAGGAAUAUCCCAGCUGCCCCUAUCAUGACAAAAUAAAACAGCGCUUAUUGAAUAUUUAGAGAUUGAAAUGCCAAAAAGGAGAAAAAGUUGCCCUCUGAAGAUGUGGUGAAGUGGAAGCUGGAGAUUGAAAUAGCUCUUCAGGGAGGUAAUGAGGCAGACAGUGAUGAUGCAGAUCUGGGGAGGAAGGACCUCAGCAUCCUCUGACUGCUUCUGUUACAGGUGUGGAAAUGCUUAUCUGACCUGGCAGGCUUUGUGUAGGAAAUACAAAGCUCUUCUUGAGGUUCCCAGGGUUUGUUUCUAUUUUUUUUUUUCCCCACUAGCGGCAGGAUUGCUCUCCAAAUUUCAAAGCUGGUG